UCUGGUGUCAGCCGCCGCGGUAAAACCAGCACCUCAAGUGGUCAGGAUGAUUAUUGGGCCUAAAGCAUCCGUAGCCUGCUUUGUUAGUUUUCGGUUAAAUCCAUACGCUCAACGUAUGGGCUGCCGGGAAUACUGCAAAGCUAGGGAGUGGGAGAGGUAGACGGUACUCGGUAGGAAGGGGUAAAAUCCUUUGAUCUAUUGAUGACCACCUGUGGCGAAGGCGGUCUACCAGAACACGUCCGACGGUGAGGGAUGAAAGCUGGGGGAGCAAACCGGAUUAGAUACCCGGGUAGUCCCAGCUGUAAACUAUGCAAACUCGGUGAUGCAUUGGCUUGAUGCCAAUGCAGUGCCGCAGGGAAGCCGUUAAGUUUGCCGCCUGGGAAGUACGUACGCAAGUAUGAAACUUAAAGGAAUUGGCGGGGGAGCACCACAAGGGGUGAAGCCUGCGGUUCAAUUGGAGUCAACGCCAGAAAUCUUACCCGGAGAAACAGCAGAAUGAAGGUCAAGCUGAAGACUUUACCAGACAAGCU
This 530-nucleotide ribosomal RNA is filed under the name uncultured Nitrososphaerota archaeon. RNAcentral's name for it is "bacterial SSU rRNA". It matches the Rfam family "Archaeal small subunit ribosomal RNA", at positions 451 to 981 of the family's 1478-position model. The record is from RNAcentral. Lineage: Archaea; Thermoproteati; Nitrososphaerota.